Molecule: long non-coding RNA, 3192 nt
Organism: Tigriopus californicus
Lineage: Eukaryota; Metazoa; Arthropoda; Copepoda; Harpacticoida; Harpacticidae
Exons: 5
Source: RefSeq, a predicted model, not a curated record
GGUCAGAAUGAAUCCGAUCUAGAAGCUUAUAAAUCUUGAGUAGGACUCUGUUAAAUGAGUGAUAUGAGGUUUUUCUCAGUGGUGGGCGAACCUUCGAAUUGGUUCUUUCUCACUGGAUGUUGUACACCCUCCUUUGCCACACUGAGCGAGAAAGACAUGUGGAAUAUACGUUAUGGCUAUUAGAGACAAUGAGACGGAGAUCGAAGAGAUCUCACACCUGAAUAACAGGGAUUACACGAGGGAUUUCUGAUCUCUUUGUUCACAUCCAGCUAGGAACAAAAAGCCGGCUUACAACCAUCAAGGGCCACAAGCAGUGAAGUCGCUCUCGUUGGAUCUGGAUUUUGUGAAGAAAUGAGUCAAGAAUCACCUCCAGAGUCGGGAUUAGAUUCCAAAAUACCUGUAAUUUCUCACAUUGCAUACGCUCCUUUUAAUUCAAAUGUCCACUUUGAAGCCGGAACUUGACAGUUUUCGUGUUUCUAACUCUUGAAUAGUCAAUGCCAUACCCAACGGGUAGACGAAAGGCUCUGGAGCACUUACAGUAGGCAAGUUCAAACGUGGUACAUGGUCAUGUUUCGGUGCAUCCAUUACGAGACUUGCACUCGUUUGACAGACAGUCAAGUUAUUUAUGACCGGUGACCUCGAGGGUGAUCGUGAAUAGCGACGAAUGACCAGCCCUAUUCCGAGUCCUCAAAUUGGAGUGUCUUCUAAGGCGUGGAAGGGCUUUCUCUAUUAAAGGUGUCGCCUUCAGAAUAGCUCAAGGUAAUCAUGGUGUUCAACACUUUCUAAGAAAAGUAGCGCGACGUUUUAGGGUCAAGGUCAGCUCAGAACAUCUUGGAACAUGAAGUGCGAAGAUAACCGAAUGGGGGGCUCAGUUCGAAUGUUGUUACCCCUAGACUCUUUGUUGUCUCGUGUUGGGUUCCGGUGGAUACUACACGCGAGGACAUCGGCAUGCUCAACACUACCAUAAAAUUUUGAUUUGCCCCAUUUGGAUUGAGCGCCACGGCCAAAGUCAAACAAUAAACACCAGCUGCUACGUUUCAAAUCAGGGCUCCCAUUGAUUGAAUUUCAAGAUGAAUAUUUCUAUAAUUGGGUGGUUGUGAGUCAUUCAUUAUGACAUCUGGAUAGAUCUUGUCCAUAAAUUUGAAAUGUGGCAUGGCGAGUGAACCGAGCGAACGCAUCUCCUUGAAACAAAAGAUGAGCAGCAUUUUUGGUGCCACAAAUUAGACAAUUAGCAACCCUGGAUCGCAGAGUACAGAAUAUGUCUCGACUUCCUGCGGAGUGGCAGACCAAGUUCUUCGUUAGUGGAAGAUAUCUUCUCUCAAGUUCUCUGUGCAAAAGUUUGAUGUCAUCUCAUAUUAUUGGAGGAGGGGAUCCAAACCAAAUGUACCACCUAACCAAGAUGGUCUUGUGGUCUUGUGAACCUCAAAAAGCCAUUAAAGGAGGCCCCUGAUUGCCAUGAAAAGAAAAUGGAUAUGCAAAUGCAAAACAUGGACGACUGAGCACUUGGAAGACUUCAAAGAUGCACGUUAUGGAUUAGUUUCAGUUCGGCUCCAUUUGCUUCUUCCUCCACAAUAAUGGGUUACAUCAUGGGUUUUGGCACAAGCAUUUCGCGUACCUACUGUGGACUUUGAGUCAAGGCUUGGUAGCCAAACGUCUCCUUUGCAAAUUUUCGGGCUACGGCCAAAUUUGUCGUCAUCGUUUCAAUCUAAGAUUUCAUCGUUUUCGGGCGUGAUAUUGUGUAUGAGCGCCAAAUAUGAAGUAGAAGCCGGUAGUUGAACAUGGCCAUUUGCUAUGAUGGGUCUUGACCCCCUAGGGUGGAGCGUCUAUGGAUGCCGAAGUCAUGUCCAAGUCAGCGAUAUACAUCAGACAAUGACAUAGUUUGCCUUGAGGACCUACAACAAGUGCAUUUCCUUUGGGGAAACUAUGCAACUUGACCCAUUCAACUAAUCCUUCCUGAUUAAUUGCAAGGAUGAUUCAACAAUAAGCAAAGGCAAGCCAUACCACGGAGUAUUGGAGAUAAUAUCCAACAUACAGUAUACUCCAAGAAUGAAACCAAAUCCUCGAACUUCCAGACAGUUGGAAAUUCCGAAUAUGUUUGAGCAUCCCUUUGUAUGAUUCACGCCCAAGGAGGGAGAGGCCCAGCCCAAAGUUUUCUCAUCUCCAUCAAGAAUGGAUCGGCAAAUCAGCGUCGGUUUCGUUUUUCUUCCCAAGAUGUUGCAAUCCGAGAUCAGGGAUGCCGACCGAAGAUGUCCUGUUAAAAGACUACCUUUAUGCAAUCAUUCUCUUUUCAAUGUUUUUUUUGUCUUGGUUGUAUCUUGUCGAAUGCUGUAUGAAAUACGAAAAAGGAGACCUGCAAGGAGACCUGCAAGGAGACAUUCUUGGGCCCAUUCCCAUUCGGCAAACCUGGACAGAGUGAAGCAGCGCCCAAGUUGCAGUUAGAGAUGCGUCCUUUGAAGAGGAUUCUUGCCUUGCUUGCUGUCUUAAUCGCAUGAUGACGAAGCUAGCGGGAUGAGACGAGUUGGAUGAUACAUCUUCCCUUCAAGGUGGAUGAAUCUCUUUCUCUACACUUGUCUCUUGGAGCCCACUGCACUGAACCGAGCUCAGCCCAUAACCCAGCCCUGCAGAAAUGCACACACCAAAAAAUCAAUGAGAGUCUUACCAGACCCAAAUCGUUAAGCUCCGUCUUCGUUUCAGUGCUGUGAAGUUCGUCAAACGGCGACUCCAGCCGAUUAACCGGUUGUUGAAAAGAAAUCGAUGCGGACAUACCUGAGUAUUCAAAUUCGUGGUGAAUCCGUCCACGGGCCCUGUAAUUUGCCGAUACUCAAAAACUGUCAUUAAAUUCAAUUCUUUUUCUAAAAUUCGGGCCCUGGAGACAUUUAUCAUCUUAUUGGUCGGCUUACAAGAUGGCUCAGUUUGGUGGUUGGAAUAGUUUGUGAUUUGACUCGUUGUGAAAUAUGGGCUUGGCUGUGGAAGAUGAUGAAUACUAAAUAUGCCCUCUGGUGACAAUUCACCGAUUUCGCUCAUUCCACCCAUUACUCGUCAAGGCAAUUCGGAGAAACUUCUACGUAUAACAGGGUCCUUGGAAGACUAAAGUCACCAGAGAAGACCGGCGUGCGAUUUACUCUCGUAAUGAUCUAACAUUAAUUGCUUAUCGCCAAUAUCAAUUAAGCCACGCCUUGGUGACGUAAAAUA